This 383-nucleotide long non-coding RNA is filed under the name Vigna radiata. RNAcentral describes it as "long non-coding RNA (VRAD_LNC015654)". Lineage: Eukaryota; Viridiplantae; Streptophyta; Magnoliopsida; Fabales; Fabaceae. The record is from RNAcentral.
AUCAUCUACUUUCAUUCCUCCUGCUUUGUAACUGAAUAAUCUUUGACUUCAUCAGGAUUUCUCAAUGUGUUUAGAUACUCAGUGAAUUUGUGAAAUCCUUCAAUUCCUAAGUGGCAAGCUCCUUCGGACUUUAUCCCUGCCAAUUUUGUUCAAAUUUCUUCAAUUAGUUUUAUAUCCACUCCCUUCACCCUGGAGCAGAGUAUACCGUCUUCAACUCUUAUAUUACAGUAGAAAACUUUAACCAGAUCAGGAUGCCAAGGGUCAUACAUUUCCACAAACUUUCUCAGCCCUUGACAUUUAAUCCAUCUUUGAAAUUUGAAACCCUCUUCUCUGAUAAAUUUCAUCUUCAAGUAUCUGUGAGGUAUUAAACUUCUCAUCCAUCC